GGGCGCGUAGCUUAAUGGUAGAGCAGCGGCCUGUGAAACCGAGUGUGACGGUCCGAUUCCGUUCGUGCCCA
RNAcentral lists this transfer RNA (71 nucleotides) under Candidatus Woesebacteria bacterium RIFOXYB1_FULL_38_16. Its description in RNAcentral is "tRNA-His". It matches the Rfam family "tRNA". From Rfam's summary of the family: Transfer RNA (tRNA) molecules are approximately 80 nucleotides in length. Their secondary structure includes four short double-helical elements and three loops (D, anti-codon, and T loops). The record is from RNAcentral. Lineage: Bacteria; Candidatus Woeseibacteriota.